RNAcentral lists this ribosomal RNA (249 nucleotides) under uncultured bacterium. RNAcentral describes it as "partial 16S ribosomal RNA". It matches the Rfam family "Bacterial small subunit ribosomal RNA", at positions 84 to 334 of the family's 1533-position model. The record is from RNAcentral.
AAGAGUGGCGACCGGCGAACGGGUAAGUAACACGUACCCAACCGUCCGAUAACUCGGGGAUAGCCUUUCGAAAGAAAGAUUAAUACCCGAUGGCAUAGUUCUUCCGCAUGGUAGAACUAUUAAAGAAUUUCGGUCAUCGAUGGGGAUGCGUUCCAUUAGGUUGUUGGCGGGGUAACGGCCCACCAAGCCUUCGAUGGAUAGGGGUUCUGAGAGGAAGGUCCCCCACAUUGGAACUGAGACACGGUCCAA